This 74-nucleotide transfer RNA is filed under the name Terriglobus saanensis SP1PR4. Its description in RNAcentral is "tRNA-Ser". The record is from RNAcentral. Lineage: Bacteria; Pseudomonadati; Acidobacteriota; Terriglobia; Terriglobales; Acidobacteriaceae.
CGUCAAUAACUUAGCUUUGGCACGGCACCUUCACACGGUGGAAGUCGUAGGUUCGAAUCCUGCUGUGCCCACCA